This 253-nucleotide unclassified non-coding RNA is filed under the name uncultured Caryophanales bacterium. RNAcentral's name for it is "uncultured Bacillales bacterium contains 16S-23S intergenic spacer region". It matches the Rfam family "Bacterial small subunit ribosomal RNA", at positions 524 to 776 of the family's 1533-position model. Lineage: Bacteria; Bacillati; Bacillota; Bacilli; Caryophanales. The record is from RNAcentral.
GACGUAGGGGGCAAGCGUUGUCCGGAAUUAUUGGGCGUAAAGCGCUCGUAGGCGGGUAUUUAAGUCCGUGAAGAAAGACCUGGGCUCAACUCAGGGACCGGCACGGAUACUAUUUACCUUGAGUAUAGGAGAGAAGAGUGGAAUUCCACGUGUAGCGGUGAAAUGCGUAGAGAUGUGGAGGAACACCAGUGGCGAAGGCGACUCUUUGGCCUAUAACUGACGCUGAGGCGCGAAAGCGUGGGGAGCAAACAGG